RNAcentral lists this ribosomal RNA (946 nucleotides) under uncultured bacterium. Its description in RNAcentral is "bacterial SSU rRNA". It matches the Rfam family "Bacterial small subunit ribosomal RNA", at positions 8 to 987 of the family's 1533-position model. The record is from RNAcentral.
AGAGUUUGAUCCUGGCUCAGAAUCAACGCUGGCGGCGCGCUUAACACAUGCAAGUCGAACGAGAAAGGGGAGCAAUCCCUGAGUACAGUGGCGUACGGGUGAGUAACACGUGGGUAAUCUACCUUCUGGUGGGGAAUAACCCUGGGAAACCGGGGAUAAUACCGCAUAAGUCCGAGAGGAGAAAGCAGCAAUGCGCCGGAAGAGGAGCCCGCGGCCGAUUAGCUAGUUGGUAGGGUAACGGCCUACCAAGGCAGAGAUCGGUAGCCGGCCUGAGAGGGCUCACGGCCACACUGGCACUGAAACACGGGCCAGACUCCUACGGGAGGCAGCAGUGGGGAAUCUUGCACAAUGGGGGAAACCCUGAUGCAGCGACGCCGCGUGAGCGAUGAAGCCCUUCGGGGUGUAAAGCUCUUUCGGCAGGGAAGAUGAUGACGGUACCUGCAGAAGCAGCUGCGGCUAACUACGUGCCAGCAGCCGCGGUAAUACGUAGGCAGCAAGCGUUGUUCGGAAUUACUGGGCGUAAAGGGUGUGUAGGCGGUUUGGUAAGUCUGGUGUGAAAUCUCCUGGCUCAACUGGGAGGGUGCGCCGGGGACUGCCGGACUCGAGUGCGGGAGAGGAGAGUGGAAUUCCUGGUGUAGCGGUGAAAUGCGUAGAUAUCAGGAGGAACACCGGUGGUGUAGACGGCUCUCUGGACCGUAACUGACGCUGAAACACGAAAGCGUGGGUAGCAAACAGGAUUAGAUACCCUGGUAGUCCACGCCCUAAACGAUGCAUAUUUGGUGUGGGUCAUUCAGUUGAUCCGUGCCCGGAGCUAACGCGUUAAAUAUGCCGCCUGGGGAGUACAGUCGCAAGGCUGAAACUCAAAGGAAUUGACGGGGCCCGCACAAGCGGUGGAGCAUGUGGUUCAAUUCGACGCAACGCGAAGAACCUUACCUGGGCUCGAACG